GUCGAACGCUUCUUUCCUCCCGAGUGCUUGCACUCAAUUGGAAAGAGGAGUGGCGGACGGGUGAGUAACACGUGGGUAACCUACCCAUCAGAGGGGGAUAACACUUGGAAACAGGUGCUAAUACCGCAUAACAGUUUAUGCCGCAUGGCAUAAGAGUGAAAGGCGCUUUCGGGUGUCGCUGAUGGAUGGACCCGCGGUGCAUUAGCUAGUUGGUGAGGUAACGGCUCACCAAGGCCACGAUGCAUAGCCGACCUGAGAGGGUGAUCGGCCACACUGGGACUGAGACACGGCCCAGACUCCUACGGGAGGCAGCAGUAGGGAAUCUUCGGCAAUGGACGAAAGUCUGACCGAGCAACGCCGCGUGAGUGAAGAAGGUUUUCGGAUCGUAAAACUCUGUUGUUAGAGAAGAACAAGGACGUUAGUAACUGAACGUCCCCUGACGGUAUCUAACCAGAAAGCCACGGCUAACUACGUGCCAGCAGCCGCGGUAAUACGUAGGUGGCAAGCGUUGUCCGGAUUUAUUGGGCGUAAAGCGAGCGCAGGCGGUUUCUUAAGUCUGAUGUGAAAGCCCCCGGCUCAACCGGGGAGGGUCAUUGGAAACUGGGAGACUUGAGUGCAGAAGAGGAGAGUGGAAUUCCAUGUGUAGCGGUGAAAUGCGUAGAUAUAUGGAGGAA
This 674-nucleotide ribosomal RNA is filed under the name uncultured Bacilli bacterium. RNAcentral's name for it is "bacterial SSU rRNA". It matches the Rfam family "Bacterial small subunit ribosomal RNA", at positions 61 to 706 of the family's 1533-position model. Lineage: Bacteria; Bacillati; Bacillota; Bacilli. The record is from RNAcentral.